UACAGAGGGUGCAAGCGUUAAUCGGAAUUACUGGGCGUAAAGCGCGCGUAGGUGGUUUGUUAAGUUGGAUGUGAAAGCCCCGGGCUCAACCUGGGAACUGCAUCCAAAACUGGCAAGCUAGAGUACGGUAGAGGGUGGUGGAAUUUCCUGUGUAGCGGUGAAAUGCGUAGAUAUAGGAAGGAACACCAGUGGCGAAGGCGACCACCUGGACUGAUACUGACACUGAGACGCGAAAGCCAGGGGAGCGAACGGG
Molecule: ribosomal RNA, 253 nt
Filed under: uncultured bacterium
Lineage: Bacteria
Description: partial 16S ribosomal RNA
Rfam family: Bacterial small subunit ribosomal RNA
Source: RNAcentral